RNAcentral lists this ribosomal RNA (950 nucleotides) under Pantoea ananatis. RNAcentral describes it as "bacterial SSU rRNA". It matches the Rfam family "Bacterial small subunit ribosomal RNA", at positions 33 to 978 of the family's 1533-position model. The record is from RNAcentral. Lineage: Bacteria; Pseudomonadati; Pseudomonadota; Gammaproteobacteria; Enterobacterales; Erwiniaceae.
ACAUUGCGGCGGCUAAACAUGCAAGUCGGACGGUAGCACAGAGGAGCUUGCUCCUCGGGUGACGAGUGGCGGACGGGUGAGUAAUGUCUGGGGAUCUGCCCGAUAGAGGGGGAUAACCACUGGAAACGGUGGCUAAUACCGCAUAACGUCGCAAGACCAAAGAGGGGGACCUUCGGGCCUCUCACUAUCGGAUGAACCCAGAUGGGAUUAGCUAGUAGGCGGGGUAACGGCCCACCUAGGCCACUAUCCCUAGCUGGUCUGAGAGGAUGACCACCCACACUGGAACUGACACACGGUCCACACUCCUACGGGAGGCAGCAGUGGGGAAUAUUGCACAGUGGGCGCAAGCCUGAUGCACCCGUGCCGCGUGUAUGAAAAAGGCCUUCGGGUUGUAAAGUACUUUCAGCGGGGAGGAAGGCUAUGUGGUUAAUAACCGCAUUGAUUGACGUUACCCGCAAAAAAAGCACCGGCUAACUCCGUGCCAGCAGCCGCGGUAAUACGGAGGGUGCAAGCGUUAAUCAGAAUUACUGGGCGUAAAGCGCACGCAGGCGGUCUGUUAAGUCAUAUGUGAAAUCCCCGGGCUUAACCUGGGAACUGCAUUUGAAACUGGCAGGCUUGAGUCUCGUAGAGGGGGGUAGAAUUCCGGGUGUAGCGGUGAAAUGCGUAGAGAUCUGGAAGAAUACCGGUGGCGAACGCGGCCCCCUGGACGAACACUGACGCUCAUGUGCGAAAGCGUGGGGAGCACACGAGAUUAUAUACCCUGGUACUCCACGCCGUACACGAUGUCCACUUGGAUGUUGUUCCCUUGAAGAGUGGCUUCCAGAGCUAACGCGUUAACUCGACCGCCUGGAGAGUACGGCCGCAGGUUAAAACUCAAAUGAAUUGACGGGGGCCCGCACAAGCGGUGGAGCAUGUGGUUUAUUUCUAUGCACGCGAAGAAUCUUACCUAC